Long non-coding RNA from Panicum virgatum (switchgrass), 958 nucleotides. RefSeq lists it as uncharacterized. The record is from RefSeq and is a predicted model, not a curated record. The transcript is spliced from 2 exons. NCBI's taxonomy places the organism in Eukaryota, Viridiplantae, Streptophyta, Magnoliopsida, Poales, Poaceae.
UUCGGCGUCAAAAGCGCUCCUUCCGCCCUUAUCCUCUCGCUACAGGACACAAGGGCAACAGGGAGGCGAUUUGUGUUGCCGGCGGCGAUUCAGCCGGUCCCUUCCCUCUCUGGUGACCUGUACGGCGCCGGAGAUGGAAGAGGAGCGGCGAAUCGUCGUGCGGUUGUGAAUAGAUUAGGUAUUUUAGUACCUAGGUCUCCGCUUUCCUCACUGUCGACGACGACGGUGGUAGAACGAAUAAGCUCGCCGGGUGUUCCUAUGGCCACAGCGGUGUUCUUGCUCCUCCAAGGGACCUUCUCCAGAGACGGCGCCCUCUGUGGUGUGUGCUCCUGCGACCUCUCGGUGAGCUUGGGAAGAGAAGUUGGUUCGUUGCCUUAGUGGUCUCCGGUGCUGGGUGGUGGCCUGGUGCUUCGAUUCCGGCAAGUUGCAGUGGAAUCCAAGUUCCCAUCGCGAGGUGUUGAUGGCGUUGGCCUUUUGCUACAAGGAUGGAGAGGUGGCUGUGGGUUCCGUGGCUGGCAGGUGGAUGAAUCAAGCUCAAGCUUCCCCCGGCGGCAGAUGUCGACGAUGGCGAGCUCUGAUUCAUGGUCAGGAGGGCUCGGGUGCGUCCCCGGCCGAUGAUCGUUCAGCGUGUGCUUCAUCCCGUCCUUGGAGUCGAGUGUCCUUUGCGGCUCUUUUCAAAGCCAUGGUGCGAUGAGGCUUCUUCUGACCUGGGGUGAGCGGCGACUGGAGUCGGCGGUGGUCUCCGGCAGCGGCGAACGGCGGCGUACUCUGCAGGAUUCAGUUUGCAGAGGUUCCAAGGGCUUCGUUGUAAUUUCUUUGUGUCUUAGGGGCCUCCGUGCAAAUAGGGUGGGACAGCUGUCCUCUAUAUCUUCUUUGGACGUAUCUGUAUUUGUACUGUAUCCUUAACUUUAAUACAGGUAUGUUUUGGAUAAAAAAAACGAAAGAAAGUGCCGAACAA